GCGCCGACGUGCCGCCCUUCGCUGCCGGCGACGUCGCGAGAAGUCCACUGAACCUUAUCAUUUAGAGGAAGGAGAAGUCGUAACAAGGUUUCCGUAGGUGAACCUGCGGAAGGAUCAUUG
Molecule: ribosomal RNA, 120 nt
Filed under: Codonopsis pilosula subsp. tangshen
Lineage: Eukaryota; Viridiplantae; Streptophyta; Magnoliopsida; Asterales; Campanulaceae
Description: partial 18S ribosomal RNA
Rfam family: Eukaryotic small subunit ribosomal RNA
Source: RNAcentral